Molecule: transfer RNA, 63 nt
Filed under: Salmo salar (Atlantic salmon)
Lineage: Eukaryota; Metazoa; Chordata; Actinopteri; Salmoniformes; Salmonidae
Rfam family: tRNA
About the family: Transfer RNA (tRNA) molecules are approximately 80 nucleotides in length. Their secondary structure includes four short double-helical elements and three loops (D, anti-codon, and T loops).
Source: Rfam by way of RNAcentral
UGGCUCAGUUGGUAGAGCAUGGUGUUUGCAACGCCAGGGUUGUGGGUUCGAUUCGAUUCCCAC